CAAACAUUUUCGACCUCAGAAGACACGAUUAUAACUGGCAGUUCAUAGUACAGCGCUAACGCCAACCAAACGUGGCGAACCGAACGGAACUUGGCGAGUUCCGCGCAGCGAACUCCACGCUGGAGUCGGACUAUAAACCAGCCUUUACUUUUGUUAAUAGCAGGACUCGGGUGGCCAGUUGGCUAACCCUGGCCUCCGGAGCCGCCUCUUCUCGGUCGCUGGCUAAACCCGCCAUGCCCGGUCCCUCCCGUAUUUACUGGCACUUCUGGUCGGAAGGUAGCUACCGUUUCCCCCGCGAGGUCCGGCCCCCGUCAACCGGGUACCGGAUAGUUCCCGUCCGCCGGCUCCAUCCUAGGCUCCAUUCCGCGUUAACUUAAGCUGGUAGCUGUAAAAGUUUCCGUAUUUAAUUUUUACAGUAGCCGGAAACUUUGGAUCCGACUUUUAGUCAAAAAUUAAUAUUUGUAUAUAUGAUUUUUAAUUAAUUAAAUAAUUAUCAGCCACCCACGGCAACGGCCGACGGUCUACGGUGAUUGGUGUCCAUUUACGGUGGACGGGGUAGAAAAUAUUGGUGGAAAAGAGGAACCCGAACUUAGCUAAAGCCGCCCGUCCUCCCGUCCUAUUUCCCCACAAAAAUUCUUUCCGAUGGAGGGACCUACGGGAGAAUAGCCACUCCACUUCCGUACAGGCAACAUAGGAAACAAACUAUCUUUUCUAGUUUUAGCGGGACACUGAAGGCUGGGGCUGAGAUAGUCGACCGCCGUCACCUUCACCGUCCACAGGCCCAUCCACGGCCGUUCCGUCGGCCCGGUUCCUGGUCCGGGUGGGUGAUAGCGGUCAGUGAUUAGGCCCGGAGUGAAAAGGAAAAAUCUAUCGUCCCUCUGCAAUGCUCGGUGAAAGGGGAAAAACUUUUAAUACCGAGCAGUGGCGCGGACGGAAAUUUAACCAUUAAAAAAAUAAGAAACACCGAAUGUUGUUUCCAAUAAAUGCCAAAGGCAAACAUUAGGCGUUAUAUGGAUGAUGGUGAGCUCUACCAUAUAAAUAAUAGUUACCCAAGAAAUGAUUAACGAAUGUCAGUAGCGGGGUGGCCGGGCUCACCCGCCCCGGCUAAGCUACCGGCACCGGGGAACCUCUCCACCCGUGUCCAGUUUUCGGGAAGAGGUUAAACACCGGAGACAGGUUAAUGGGGCGGAGAGAAAGCGGAAGACGGGAUGGGAGCCGCAUCGAUCCGUCCAACGGCGCGACUUUCAUAAAUAUGCACAAAUUACGUGUUAAGUAUUUAAAUAAAGAUAAUAGGCUGGGGAAAUUUCAAUUUCGAUACAAUUACGGCGCCAUUAACCGCGAGCGACAGUAGUCCAGCCGCUACCUUAGGCGCACUCCACCGUGCCUACUCGGAGGCCCGACUAUCUUUUCGCCCCCUGCCGUUUAUAAUAUUUAUAAACGGCAUAAUAUUAUUAUCGAUAUUUUGUCUGGUAUCCUCGGUAACGGAAUAUAAAUCGGCCAAAUAACGAAAAAUAAUUGGCCGAAUUCGAAAGGUUUGCCUGAUCGAAUUUUCGUUUUACCCAGCUGGACCGUGUCCAACCCAAACGACCGCUAUUAGUUAGUCACCGAUAAGGACUAUAGUGGGUCGAAUGUAUGGUGCAACCGUAACCAUCCUAUUAUAUCGCGUUUAACGGUAAAAGUCGAGGCCGGCAACUUACUUUCUACGGUUGAGACUGUGGUCGAACCGUAAAGGAAGCGAUUUUCGUUUUGACCGUACUGGUCAUUCCAGCCACGGUUUUCUCUGUUAAAAAGAAUUAAAACUUAUGUAAGAAAUACCACCACCUAACAAAGAUCGAAUCACUCGGUUAUUAUUAACCGCCGUAACCGAGGAGUUGGUGGACUAUAUUUGGUUAAGAUACCGAACGAAAAACCUAAAACCAACUGUUCCGUGCCAUACUUUCGCUCUGGUAGAUGGUUAAGGCCUUAGCAGAAUUAUCGCUUUGACUUUUUUACCACUGUAUUUAUAUUAAUCGCUCUGUAAUCGAAAUUUCCUUUAUUAACGACAAAUAAAUAAUUACAUAUUAUUGUUUAUACAAGAUCUCGGUGGUAUACCGGGUGACGCGAAAAUUUCUUAGCCUGGUUACCAGAGGGCGACACCAUCCGACUGGUUUGGAACGGGGAAAGGCGGUAAAUUAUCCGGGCUGGGUUUGUUGGCCAUACGCGCCUUAUUUACUCCGCAGCCGGAACUUAAGCGCAGCUUACGCGCCGCCUUUUCCAAAAUAGAGAAGUUGGAGAAUCCGGCAGUCAUCGAAUAUCUCCGCCAAAAACUCUUAAUUUCCAGGCUAUUUACACCCCUAGGUUGCCGGAGACCCGGGUGGUGUACAGCCAAUCCCCGCACCGACACACGGGGGUUGGUCCGCUCCAUCCGCGCACGGUGUCAUCAAACAACCGGAAUUGCUGGAGAAAUUCGACUUAAUCGCCGCUACCUCCUCCCGUCCCGGAAGGAUGGAAAACCCAAAGAGAUAAACCACCCCGAAUUACGGCAAUGGUGAGUUCGCUCCGACAGAGGGCGCAUUAUCGCCGGGUAGAAACAUCGGCGGUCGUGCGAAAGGCUCCGACAUCUUCGGUUACUAUUAUCCCUCGACAAAAUAUCCACCAUUCGACGGAGAAAUUUUCCCCGUUAACGAGGGCGCCACACAUCGUUUCGUAUCGGUUGCAGCCUAUGAGCGAUUGGAAGAAAACCGCCGCAGCCGUCACGGGACUCGGGUUACCAAUCGGCUGGGUUGGAUGUCCUCGGCCACGGGCCACAUUGCUCGGAUAACAGUCACCGAGUUUGCUACGUGUUCCGGUGGGAAGCGAACCUCCCACCCGACUUAAGAGAAUCGCCGUCAGACCCGGCUCGAUCACCUCUCGGAUCUACUGUUCCGCCAUUCGUUCCGUCGGCACAGUACACCACUCGGAUUUGGAACUCUUUUGGAAAGCCCGUAACUCACGCGGUGCAUUCGGCCAGCCGAUUCUUAAUCUCGAACUGCGGAGAUUGAUUCGACCGUACCGCCUUCGUCGGUCACGGGGUUACGGAUAAACCGAGCCCGAUUGGCCACGCCUGGUAGGGACACCGGCGUACGUCUACGCGAACGCUAGUCACCUGGGUAAAAUGCCAUCUCACUAAGAACCCAGAGGCUAUCGACGUCUGGGGCCAACUGCCAAGCGGAUACGGGCAUAGAUAUCGAGGAAGGCAAAACAGAUACGCGCCCCGGUCGCGUCCAGGCGUGCCCUCCUUCGGGAGGUACGAUAAUGGCGGACAGAACAUCGAAGAUAAGAGACUAUGGGCUUCCGGUCUGAACGGGUGGGCAACAUUUUACACAGCGAAUUGGACACGGUAAAGAUUUUUGCAAAAUUUUUGAUCAGCGAUGGACAACACGUUGGCGUUCAGACACGAUCCGACUCGCUAGUCCGUUUUCCAGCCAAUCCCGCCAGUUCGGGACGGAUACGUAAUAGCAGACGAAACACGGGUUGAUUUUUUUAUCAGUCCGAGUCCAAAUAAUAACGAAACAGUGGAAGCGUGACGGCUCACCGUCAACAAAGAGUCUGUUUCAUCGGCUGGAAAAGUGGUCUCUUUUUUUGGGAUGGUCGAGGCGUAUCGAAGCUGGAUUUCCCGCCAAACGGCCAAUAUUACGCUAACGGGUCAACCAACUCGGUGAGGAAAUAAAAUACGAAAGGCCUGGGACGCUAACAAACGGUUUCGUGGGAACAACGCUCCACCUCACACUUCCACAGUGGCGAUGGCAAUAAUUUAUACCCCACCCACGGUAUCGGUCGGAUGUAGCGCCAUCGACUUCUAUAUAAUUUUUCGAGAAAAGAUGUAUAAACAUUGGAAUAAUAAUAAAUCCCUGUCUUCCCCAAAAUGACAAACCAGUUGGAUGGAACCAAAUUUUCUCCAACACACCGAGUUAUAAGCGCCACAUAAUAUAAUUUUUUGCAACCAAAAGUAAAUCUGUAAAACUGGCACUAGAAUAUCGAUGGGCUGGAAAGGAGACGAAGUGGAGAAAUGUCGCAGGUUGGAAAAUUUUCAGCCAACUCCGACUAGACCAGGUUAAUAAUUUUUCAACCAGGUAAGGUGGUAAUCGGUAAUCCGGCUGAAAAUGGCCAUAGAUCGCUAUGUAAUUUUUCCAGAAAGGCCGUCUAAAUAUUCGAAUAAUAGUAAAUCCCUCUGAUAUUCAAAAUAUUUAAUAGCCGGCGCGGUGAUUACCUAUUAUAUAUCAUAUUAUAUUAUUAUAUUACUAUUAUAUACGCCGAGUUAAAAAAAUGUGUAAGAAAUGAAAAUACGCCAGACUCGCUUUUUAUUGUGGUCAUCGAGUAAAAUAUAAAUGUAAUAUAUAAUUAUAAAACUGCUAAUCAGUCGAUACACGUCCGAGCCACAAUGUAUUUAUUAUUAGUAGCGUGCCCGUAACAGAACUCUGGCCGGUAGAAACCGACCCCCUCUUUCGAAAAUAAAGCGCCAAUAAGAUUAAACGAGGCCACUGGAAACCUUAUCUGGACAACAAAAGGAGUAGACCUUUUUCCCAUUACUUUUCGACAUAUACAUAAAUAGAACGAUAGCGACGUAUCGCUUUUCGAUAAAUGAAAAAAUUUAUUUCUUUUCUAAUAUAUUUUAUAUGGCCAUACGUUUAGAAUUAAAUGGCG
This 4662-nucleotide long non-coding RNA is filed under the name Androctonus crassicauda. Lineage: Eukaryota; Metazoa; Arthropoda; Arachnida; Scorpiones; Buthidae. The record is from RNAcentral.